UUGAUCCUGGCUCAGAUUGAACGCUGGCGGCAUGCCUUACACAUGCAAGUCGAACGGCAGCACGGGAGCAAUCCUGGUGGCGAGUGGCGAACGGGUGAGUAAUAUAUCGGAACGUGCCCAGUCGUGGGGGAUAACGUAGAGAAAUUUACGCUAAUACCGCAUACGAUCUAAGGAUGAAAGCGGGGGACUCGCAAGAGCCUCGCGCGAUUGGAGCGGCUGAUAUCAGAUUAGGUUGUUGGUGAGGUAAAAGCUCACCAAGCCGACGAUCUGUAGCUGGUUUGAGAGAACGACCAGCCACACUGGGACUGAGACACGGCCCAGACUCCUACGGGAGGCAGCAGUGGGGAAUUUUGGACAAUGGGCGAAAGCCUGAUCCAGCAAUGCCGCGUGCAGGAAGAAGGCCUUCGGGUUGUAAACUGCUUUUGUACGGAACGAAAAGGCCCUUUCUAAUAAAGAGGGCCCAUGAC
Molecule: ribosomal RNA, 467 nt
Filed under: Polaromonas sp. R-38383
Lineage: Bacteria; Pseudomonadati; Pseudomonadota; Betaproteobacteria; Burkholderiales; Comamonadaceae
Description: bacterial SSU rRNA
Rfam family: Bacterial small subunit ribosomal RNA
Source: RNAcentral